Molecule: ribosomal RNA, 322 nt
Filed under: uncultured eukaryote
Lineage: Eukaryota
Description: partial 18S ribosomal RNA
Rfam family: Eukaryotic small subunit ribosomal RNA
Source: RNAcentral
CCCUUAGAUGUCCUGGGCCGCACGCGCGCUACACUGACAUGUUCAACAAGUUUCUCCUAGUUCGACAGGACUGGGAAAUCUUUGAACGCAUGUCGUGAUAGGGAUAGAUCAUUGCAAUUAUUGAUCUUGAACGAGGAAUUCCUAGUAAACGCGAGUCAUCAGCUCGCAUUGAUUACGUCCCUGCCCUUUGUACACACCGCCCGUCGCAACUACCGAUUGAAUGUUUCGGUGAAGAUUCCGGAUAGGACUGAUUUGAUUUAUUUCAUUUCUGACCUAAAAGCUAUCUAAACCUCAACAUUUAGAGGAAGGUGAAGUCGUAACA